GGCAGACACGUCAAGUGGUUGAUUUUCGGAAAGAACAAGAUAGUGUACAGUGAGCUUAUAUCAAAAAGUAUUAAUGGAGGAGGGCCUCUUUGCAUCAUGUUGAAAGAUAAAUUUGAGUGAAAGGGCUUCUGUUUUCCCUGGCAACAGAUCGUUCCUUAGCAAGGUGCCAAUUUAUUGAGAGGUUAUUACUCUCAUUUUCGAUGUGUUCUUUUGAAUAAGUAAGUGAACUCGGUUUUAUUCUUUGUUCGUUAUCUCCGCUUUGUUGAAACAAAAUUCAACGCCGAUAUAAUGGUUUCAAGAAUAUUCCAGUUACAACUUACUUCUUAAUAAUCAUAUGAUAACUUAUUCCUUCUUUGCCCCAUCUCGGCUUUGUUAGAAUAAAUUCUAACGCUGGUACAAUGAUAUCGAAGCAAUCCCUUAUUACACAAUUAUUAAG
RNAcentral lists this long non-coding RNA (436 nucleotides) under Lupinus angustifolius (narrow-leaved blue lupine). RNAcentral describes it as "long non-coding RNA (LANG_LNC001491)". Lineage: Eukaryota; Viridiplantae; Streptophyta; Magnoliopsida; Fabales; Fabaceae. The record is from RNAcentral.